UAGGGAAUCUUCGGCAAUGGACGAAAGUCUGACCGAGCAACGCCGCGUGAGUGAAGAAGGUUUUCGGAUCGUAAAACUCUGUUGUUAGAGAAGAACAAGGACGUUAGUAACUGAACGUCCCCUGACGGUAUCUAACCAGAAAGCCACGGCUAACUACGUGCCAGCAGCCGCGGUAAUACGUAGGUGGCAAGCGUUGUCCGGAUUUAUUGGGCGUAAAGCGAGCGCAGGCGGUUUCUUAAGUCUGAUGUGAAAGCCCCCGGCUCAACCGGGGAGGGUCAUUGGAAACUGGGAGACUUGAGUGCAGAAGAGGAGAGUGGAAUUCCGUGUGUAGCGGUGAAAUGCGUAGAUAUAUGGGGGAACACCAGUGGCGAAGGCGGCUCUCUGGUCUGUAACUGACGCUGAGGCUCGAGAGCGUGGGGAGCAAACAGG
This 429-nucleotide ribosomal RNA is filed under the name Gemmatimonadota bacterium. RNAcentral describes it as "Gemmatimonadetes bacterium partial 16S ribosomal RNA". It matches the Rfam family "Bacterial small subunit ribosomal RNA", at positions 355 to 776 of the family's 1533-position model. The record is from RNAcentral. Lineage: Bacteria; Pseudomonadati; Gemmatimonadota.